AAAUACUUUUCUUUUGUCUGUCGAUGAUCCUCAUGUCUGUUUUGGAUGUGUAUUAAAGUCACAGAAUCACAGAAUUGUAGGGGUUGGAAAGGACCUCGAAAGAUCAUCGGGUCCAACCCCACUGCUAAAGCAGGUUCCUUAGAGCUGGCUGCCCAGGUAGUUGUCCAGACAGGCCUUAAAUAUCUCCAGAGAAGGAGAUUCCACAGCCUCCCUGGGCGGCCUGUCCCAGUGCUCCAUCACCCUCACCAUGAAGAAGUUCUUUCGCAUGUUGGUGUGGAACUUCCUGUGCUCCAUCUUGUGGCCAUUGCCCCUUGUCCUGUCCCCAUAAACCACUGAAAAGGGGUUGGCCAAAAGUCCCCUUUCUUCCUCUUAAUGUGACUAUCAUUCACAACUUUUCCCAUUAUAUUAUUUAUUUAAAAAAAGCUUAUUUCUUUUUUUUUUUUUUUUCCUGUUGUGAACUGGCAAGACAUGCAUACCUAGUGUGGUGGUUUUACUCAAGUGGGCAGCCGAGCUCCACCACCACUGCUCUCACACUCCCCCUCUCCUCAAAGAGGAAGGGGGAGAAAAUACAACACAAAGAAGUUGAGGUUUGGGAUGAGAAAGGCUUAAUUAAAGGGAAAGGGAAUGGGGAGAAAAAGGAAAAAAAAAAAAACAAUAAGGCCACGCGGAAGCACAGAGAGAAGGAAAAGAAAUUCUCUACUUCCCAUCAACAAGCGAUGUUUGGCCAUGUCCUGGGAAGCAGGGCCUCAAAAUGCAUAGUGGUUGUUCAGAAGGGACAGGUCCCUCCUCCACGAGAGCCCCCCUUUUUAUUGCUGAGUGUGACAUCAGGUGUUAUGGAAUAUCCCUUUGGUCAGUUUAGGUCAGCUGUCCUGGCGAUGUCCCCUCCCCAUCGGUUGCCCACCCCCAGCCUGCUGGCUCUUGGGGGCUUGGAAGGAGUCCUGGUCCUGUGCCAGCACCAUGCAGCAGUGGACACAACACUGGAGUGAUGCCAGUGCUGCUCCAGCUACGAGUGCAGAGCACAGCAC
This 1025-nucleotide long non-coding RNA is filed under the name Anas platyrhynchos platyrhynchos (common mallard). Its description in RNAcentral is "lncRNA (ENSAPLG00000026726.1)". Lineage: Eukaryota; Metazoa; Chordata; Aves; Anseriformes; Anatidae. The record is from RNAcentral.